CCCUUGCAUGGCGACUCUCCACCCGCUCGCUACUAACUUCCUCAUCUACCUGCUCGCCUAUUGCUGUGUUUACACGUGCUUGUACUUGUUGAUUUAUUUCUUUAGCAUCUUUGUAGAGGACUAGACAACCCAACUGGAUACAGGUCCCUCGGACAGGAAGUGCUUUUUUCAUCUCCCCAGAAAUGGAUGAGUUCUUUCAAGUGCUGUACACUGGAGAAAUCCAAAGGAUUCAACAGAUGAACACAUUUCAAAAAGCUACUACUAUUUUUUCUUAAGAAAUGCAUCAAGCAUCUGAUUUACUGCUGAUAAAUUCUCUGUGAAGAAACACGGGACCAGGACAGAAAAAGCGCUCUCUUUCAAUGUCCCGAUCCCCGUCAGGCCUGGUGGGAUGUUACAACCACCCUCUGAAGAAAGGUUUUGGAAAUAAACACUUGAAAGCCUGCCCA
This is a long non-coding RNA of Erinaceus europaeus (western European hedgehog), 446 nucleotides long. RefSeq lists it as uncharacterized. The record is from RefSeq and is a predicted model, not a curated record. The transcript is spliced from 3 exons. NCBI's taxonomy places the organism in Eukaryota, Metazoa, Chordata, Mammalia, Eulipotyphla, Erinaceidae.